This 67-nucleotide transfer RNA is filed under the name Nyctanassa violacea (yellow-crowned night heron). RNAcentral describes it as "tRNA-Cys". Lineage: Eukaryota; Metazoa; Chordata; Aves; Pelecaniformes; Ardeidae. The record is from RNAcentral.
AGACCCCGGUACAUUUUUAAUAUACAUCGAUGAGCUUGCAACUCAACAUGAACUUCACCACAGGGUC